UCGGGAAUUUUGGGCAAUGGGCGCAAGCCUGACGGAGCGACACCGCGUGCAGGAUGAAGGCCUUCGGGUUGUAAACUGCUGUCACGCUUUCGGAAUGCCCGGAUGUAAAUAGCAUCCGGAUUGACCAGGGCGAAAGGAAGCACCGGCUAACUCUGUGCCAGCAGCCGCGGUAAGACAGAGGGUGCAAACGUUGUUCGGAAUUACUGGGCAUAAAGAGCACGUAGGUGGUCUGCUAAGUCGUGUGUGAAAUCCCCCGGCUCAACCGGGGAAUAGCGCUCGAUACUGGCAGGCUCGAGGUGGGUAGGGGUGAGCGGAACUCCAGGUGGAGCGGUGAAAUGCGUAGAUAUCUGGAGGAACACCGGUGGCGAAAGCGGCUCACUGGACCCAAUCUGACACUGAGGUGCGAAAGCUAGGGCAGCAAACGGGAUUAGAUACCCAUGUAGUCCCUGAGCGGGCUGGCAAGGCGCAU
This 469-nucleotide ribosomal RNA is filed under the name uncultured bacterium. Its description in RNAcentral is "bacterial SSU rRNA". It matches the Rfam family "Bacterial small subunit ribosomal RNA", at positions 355 to 825 of the family's 1533-position model. The record is from RNAcentral.